GGAGAGCGUAGGGGAGAUGGUUCACCCCAAUGGCAGUAGCGCCGGAUGACGUGGUCAUAACAGGCUGCGAUCAGCGCACGUUCGAAUCGUGCCCUCUCCA
Molecule: transfer RNA, 100 nt
Filed under: Caudoviricetes sp.
Lineage: Duplodnaviria; Heunggongvirae; Uroviricota; Caudoviricetes
Also listed under: 1 other name
Description: tRNA-OTHER
Source: RNAcentral